Tachyglossus aculeatus (Australian echidna) is the source of this 138-nucleotide small nucleolar RNA. The record is from RefSeq and is a predicted model, not a curated record. NCBI's taxonomy places the organism in Eukaryota, Metazoa, Chordata, Mammalia, Monotremata, Tachyglossidae.
CACCUCUCAGGGUCACACCCGGAGAGUUUCCAGUAUUCUACCAGUCUCAACCAUGGGAGGGAGAGCCAAGCAGAGGCAUAUCCAUUCCAUUCCUAGCUGGGCCAGUGGCUAGUGAUUGGAAGGUGAUUUGCUACAAGU